This 311-nucleotide long non-coding RNA is filed under the name Prunus persica (peach). RNAcentral's name for it is "long non-coding RNA (PPER_LNC000957)". Lineage: Eukaryota; Viridiplantae; Streptophyta; Magnoliopsida; Rosales; Rosaceae. The record is from RNAcentral.
GCAUUGAAAAAUGACUAUUUCCUAUGGGUAAAAGGAAGUGUUGGAAUAGUCUAUUUUCAAUGGGUAAUAGGGAGCAUUGGGACAUUCUUAUAUCCAGCAGGUAAAGCUAGGUAUUGGAAAAUGAUUAUUUCUUAUGGGUAAAAGGAAGUGCUUGGAAAAUAUCUCAUUUGCUCACCAAUAUUGGAGAACUCCAAGUAAUGGGCUUGGACUUUGGUACUCCCAAGUAGCUAGCCCAAAGCCUCCAUUAUCCAAGAGCUUCCGUGGGCCUUGUGGACCUCCAUAACCUUCCACACCACAAUCCCUCGUGCAAG